This 490-nucleotide unclassified non-coding RNA is filed under the name Hevea brasiliensis (rubber tree). The record is from RNAcentral. Lineage: Eukaryota; Viridiplantae; Streptophyta; Magnoliopsida; Malpighiales; Euphorbiaceae.
AAAAAAAAAGGUGAUUUGUCAGCAAAGAGAGUUUUUGUAAUUUCACUCUUUGCUAUGCAUUUUAUGUGUGGGAUUCAUUUAUUCUACUUAUGAAAUUAAGUAUGCCAAUUGUGUAGAGAUUUUUCAUUUUUCAUCAAGUAUUAUUAAUGGGAAAGGUUAAGUUUUGUCAUGGAAUAUAGUUAGAGAUGGUUAAUAUCUAUAAUAACAAUAUAUUACUGAUACUGUUUUAGGUUGGCUUACAAGAUCUUAUGCUUUCAAGAAAGUUUUGGCAACUCUUUUGUUUCGUUUUAUUGUUCCCCUAUUAUCAAAUGUUGUGCACAUACUUUUGGGACGGAAAGCAAGACAUCUAGAAUGAAUUAAUUAUUUACCAUUCUUGUUUUACUAUGUCUUCGUAUAAUAUGUGCAUGUGUGUGUGUGUGACGUCUAGAACGAAUUUAGUGUGUGUGUGAAACAUCUAGAAUGAAUUCGUGUUGAUGUGUGUGUGUGUGUG